AUGCAUCGCCAGAGAGAGCGGUCGGGUCGGGGAUCGUCUCUGCUGAUAAGAACAGAUAAACAAGUGCACCUGGAUCCAGCAGAGGUUGCAUCAUCUCUCCUGAUAAAAUGCAUCUGGGAUCUUAGAGUCAGCUUACGAGUCCGACUCGGAGGAAAAACAGGACGGCAGCGGAAACACCCAACGUCACUUCUAAUUAGCAGCUCUCAGGUCGACGUGUUUUUCUCUGGGAUUUUGUCGACCUGCAGAAAACAAAUCCGAUUUACAGACUCGGCUCUGAGCAGACUCAGCAGAUCCGUCUGGACUCGGAUCGGCAGGAUUCUCCUGCAGAUUCAAUGAGAUCAUCAGGAACGACCUGUCCAGCAUCUCCGUCCACAGCCAUGCGUAGCUCCGCCUCCACGCCAGCUCGACGGUAGCGGGAAUCCUGAAGGGAAAUCAUUUUGACACGAUGCUUCACGGCAGGAAGCAGCAAGAGGAAAUGUAAAUGUUGAUUCCAGAUGUUCAGGGUCCAACGCACACAUGCCUCCAGGUUUAUUAACCACGCCUUUUAUGUAAAAACAAUCCAGGGGAAGGAUGUGUUGCUCCGCCCUUCAGCGAGGGCUCCGCCCCUCGGCGAGGACCAGUGCCUGCCAGAUGUUUAUAUAAUAUUCAAUCAGCUGACUUUAGCUCCAGAUCCAGCUGUUUAUAGAGAAAAGUGCCUUUUUGACUGGAAAACUAAACGAGUUUCUUUGAGACUAACGGAGUUCUGAGUUUACACGUCGAGUUUCAGACAAUCGGUUUGGUUUUUAGUGAAAGUCAAACAACUUUUAGGUGUUUCACAACUCGGAUUCUGCUAUGAAAGUAAAGAAAACUGGAGCCAAACUCUAACAUGGAACUUUAAUCUGUAAUUUCUGGUUUUAGCCUCCAUUUCUAAUCUGUUAUUUAUUUGUUCUUAAUGGAUUCUGCAGCGCAGAACAACUUUCUGACCGUGUUUACAUUCAAAAGCCAAAGAAACAUCAGAGAAACGGCCAAUCAGGGCCGACCUGGAGCAAAACCAGAACCCGGUCUGAGGAUCUACGGGAACGUUUUCCCACUUCUGAAAGGAAAGGUUACAUUUAUUUAUUUACGAGAAGCAAAAGAUGAAACCAGAUUAAAGUAGCAACAACAACAAAAACAAUAACACCUGUUUAUGUUGAACUGAUUAUUAAAAUGUUGGUUUUUUAACGCAAGACCAGAAGCCUGUCAAUCACAGUGUAGCUCCGCCUCCAGGAUUUGUUCACAUUUGUUCUCAAAAAUGAUAAAAAACAAAUCAUGUGUCACAGAUGAACAGAGGCCGGGGCGCGCCCCCUGCUGGCUACUUGAUAGAAUGCAGGUUCGGUUUAUGACAUCAUUGCUAAUAAACACAAACUCUGAAUUAGAAGGAGCCUUGCAGACAGACCAAUCAGAUUAACUUUAACAGAAUCACUGAAGGUGAAAUACUUUAUUUUUUAUCAGUGACUAAACAAAGAACCGAUCUCUGGAGCUUUCAGAUGAUUUCAGUGUAAAUAUUUUGUUUAACGUUAAAAUUGUUUACAUUUGAUUACAUUUAUUUGAACAGAUCAGUCAACUCUGGGAGCGUUUAAUAAACAAGUAGGAUUUCACCUGCAAACAGCUGAUUCAGAACCUGAAAAACCACCUGCACCAAGUUUCAAAUGUGAAAGAGCUCAGAGUUAGCUUCUGCCAUCGAGAUCCUGCAGCAGGGUUGUAUGUCUGCUGCAGCAGCAGGGUUGUGUGUCUAAAGCAGCAGGGUUGUGUGUCUGCAGCAGCAGCAGCAGGGUUGUGUGUCUGCAGCAGCUGCAGGGGUGUGUGUCUG
This is a long non-coding RNA of Nothobranchius furzeri (turquoise killifish), 1828 nucleotides long. The record is from Ensembl. NCBI's taxonomy places the organism in Eukaryota, Metazoa, Chordata, Actinopteri, Cyprinodontiformes, Nothobranchiidae.